CCUACGGGUGGCAGCAGUGGGGAAUAUUGGACAAUGGGCGAAAGCCUGAUCCAGCCAUGCCGCGUGUGUGAAGAAGGUCUUCAGAUUGUAAAGCACUUUAAGUUGGGAGGAAGGGUUGUAGAUUAAUACUCUGCAAUUUUUACGUUACCGACACAAUAAGCACCGGCUAACUCUGUUCCCGCCGCCUCCGUCAUACAGAGGGUGCAAGCGUUAAUCGGAAUUACUGGGCGUAAAGCGCGCGUAGGUGGUUUGGUAAGAUGGAUGUGAAAUCCCCGGGCUCAACCUGGGAACCGCAUUCAAAACUGGCUGACUAGAGUAUGGUAGAGGGUGGUGGAAUUUCCUGUGUAGCGGUGAAAUGCGUAGAUAUAGGAAGGAACACCAGUGGCGAAGGCGACCACCUGGACUAAUACUGACACUGAGGUGCGAAAGCGUGGGGAGCAAACAGGAUUAGAUACCCUUGUAGUG
This 465-nucleotide ribosomal RNA is filed under the name uncultured Pseudomonas sp. Its description in RNAcentral is "bacterial SSU rRNA". It matches the Rfam family "Bacterial small subunit ribosomal RNA", at positions 338 to 795 of the family's 1533-position model. The record is from RNAcentral. Lineage: Bacteria; Pseudomonadati; Pseudomonadota; Gammaproteobacteria; Pseudomonadales; Pseudomonadaceae.